RNAcentral lists this ribosomal RNA (452 nucleotides) under uncultured bacterium. RNAcentral's name for it is "bacterial SSU rRNA". It matches the Rfam family "Bacterial small subunit ribosomal RNA", at positions 29 to 524 of the family's 1533-position model. The record is from RNAcentral.
AGCGAACGCUGGCGGCAGGCUUAAUACAUGCAAGUCGAGCGCCUGUAGCAAUACAGGAGCGGCAGACGGGAGAGUAACACGUGGGAACGUGCCCUUUGGUUCGGAACAACACAGGGAAACUUGUGCUAAUACCGGAUAAGCCCUUACGGGGAAAGAUUUAUCGCCAAAGGAUCGGCCCGCGUCUGAUUAGCUAGUUGGUGGGGUAAUGGCCCACCAAGGCGACGAUCAGUAGCUGGUCUGAGAGGAUGAUCAGCCUCAUUGGGACUGAGACACGGCCCAAAACUCCUACGGGAGGCAGCAGUAGGGAAUAUUGGACAAUGGGCGCAAGCCUGAUCCAGCCAUGCCGCGUGAGUGAUGAAGGCCUUAGGGUUGUAAAGCUCUUUCGGCGGGGAAGAUAAUGACGGUACCGCAUAAGAAGCCCCGGCUAACUUCGUGCCAGCAGCCGCGGUAAU